GCUAUAUUUUGUCAUAUCCAAGGAACUCAAUUAUGGCGGAGCUCAGGUGUAAAUAAUCUGAGUGAAUAUUUCAAAACGACGUUUUACGUAACUUAUUUAUUAUCCACAAAAGCUAUCAGAUUUUGAAAUUUCUUGCUAUACCCCCUCCACCCAAUCUUCCAGUUUUGAAAUUCUUCUGCUUGGGCUAAGCUUUUCUGUUAACUACGAUACACAUAUUGUAUGGGAUACCUGGACUACGGACACGAUUCUUGUGAAUGAUGCCAUUACAUUACAUUAACGAUUACACGGACUUUUUUAAGCUCCUGUUUGCUUUGGCCUUAGCUAAGCUAAGGUUACUGUUCACAUUUAUUUAAUGUUUUUUCGGAACCUACUCUAUUUCGGCGUGUUGUUUAUGGAGUUUUCUUUUCCUUCAUAACGAUCUCGCAGUGCAUAAUGUCAAACGAUUUAUUUUUUUCGAUCGAUUUAAUAAUCGUUCUGGAUCGUUUUCACGUUUGGUCCGGCCUUGCUCGAAGAACUCGUGUCUCUUCUUGAAUAUGGUUUCUUGGAUAAAAAUAAUCUGUGGUUGGUUGGUUGAAGGAACAGAAUGAAAUAAUGUUUGAACACAAGCGACCGCACUUAAGACAUCAUAUUGUCCAGCACAUUAUACCCUCGAAUAGGAAUAUUGGGAGUCGGGGAAGAUAUUCUGUCUCAACCUGUUGAAAGACGUGCGCUCGCAAAGAUAAUGUUCCAACGUUUCAUCGUACUUAGAUGGCCUUCAGGGGCAAAUGUUCUUGGAUAACCUCUACCAAAAUAGCCAAUUUCCUCUCUCCAAAGCUAGAAGCCAUUUGGUUUGUCCAUAAUUCUGACCACCUCAACUAAUUUAGUGAUUUUGAGAGAGCUGAUUAAUCGACCGGCCAAUUAUACGACAGGGUAUCCAAACGUUGUUUACUGAAUUUGCUACUAAAAG
Non-coding RNA from Bactrocera oleae (olive fruit fly), 946 nucleotides. NCBI's taxonomy places the organism in Eukaryota, Metazoa, Arthropoda, Insecta, Diptera, Tephritidae. The record is from RefSeq and is a predicted model, not a curated record.